GGCCCGUUGGUCAAGCGGUUAAGACACCGCCCUUUCACGGCGGUUUCACGGGUUCGAAUCCCGUACGGGUCACCA
Molecule: transfer RNA, 75 nt
Filed under: Oceanobacillus arenosus
Lineage: Bacteria; Bacillati; Bacillota; Bacilli; Caryophanales; Bacillaceae
Description: tRNA-Glu
Rfam family: tRNA
About the family: Transfer RNA (tRNA) molecules are approximately 80 nucleotides in length.
Source: RNAcentral